Molecule: long non-coding RNA, 1778 nt
Organism: Sarcophilus harrisii (Tasmanian devil)
Lineage: Eukaryota; Metazoa; Chordata; Mammalia; Dasyuromorphia; Dasyuridae
Source: Ensembl
UCUCCAACACCCGUGGUCUAAAUCUUUGGAGAAGAUAUGUCUCUUUUCCAAGGUCAGUAUUCCCAGUUCUCCCUGUGAAUGCCCCACCUCCCUUGUGCAGUGCUGCUCUGGCUGCCUGGUCUGGCCAAUUUGCCAGAGUCUCUCUGGAUCAUUACCCUGCUGAGCCUCUUCCUGGAAAACUCCAGGAAGUGUGGGCAAGAUGGAGUUGGAGGCGGGGUCAGGCUCUCUUUAUUGAGCUACUCACUUGUUAAUUGUCUCAUCUGCCUUUGUCCUUAAUAAGGAUGGGAUGUGCACAUAAAAGGACAUAGGAAUGCUUUGUGAAGACACCCACUUUUCCAGCAAGGUUUGGAAUGUGGCUUCCCUCAAGCAGUGGAAUCUGGAUUGGUCAACGUGAGGCGAAACAGACAUCGCACGUGUCUGUGCACGUGGUGCCGGCACACUCUGCCUCCAGAAGGAUGAGAAGAAUGAAGAGAUCUGGCUUCAGAAACCAUGGGCCAAGGGCCAAGGCCAAAGAUCUCUCGGUUGGCAGAGAAGUCCAUGAGCAGCCCAGGAAGAAUGAAGCUGAAUUCCACGGCUGGGCUUUAUGGCAACAUUGCUGCAUUGCUUCUUCUCCCUGAUUGGUUCAGGCCUUUUCAGAUGCCCCAGGCAGUGCCUGGAGCUGAGUCAGCCUGAGCUCCCACUGGCAGUUUGCUGGGUUCUGUUCAUUUCUAAGAAGAGCUUGGACCACAGGGUAGAGAGCAAGCCUCAGAGUUUGACUUCAAAACACGUCUCUGACACGUCCUGACUGUGGGAUCCUGGAUGACAUGCCCGGCUGCUCCAGUUUGACCACGCUCGGAUCCACCCUCCAGGAACUGGAUCGAUGCCCAUCAGUUGGGAAAUGGCUGAAGAAGACUGCGGAUCCACUGGCUUCUGAAUCUGGACAGUGUGGCCAAUGCUGCUGUAUUUUGGCUAAGAGCCUCCCAGUAGAUUUCUCCAAGGUGUGGAUGCCACUGCAUCCUGGGUCUCUGCCCAGCAUCUGCUCACAGCCACCUCCCUCCCAUGCCCGAUUGAAACAGACCUUUUCUGAAGUUCUUCCAAAAUAUCUUCUGCUGGAAAUUUGUUACACUCCAAAUAUUUGUGGGUUCUGUCACCACUCCAAUAGCCAUUCAGAGGCUUGAUCUGGUGCUGAUCUGAGAGAAGCCUGGAAAAGUUCAGGCAGAGAGCUGUUUACUCCCUGCCAUCUUGGCUCUGGCCCCAGAAGGCUUUUGUUAUAGCACAAAAAUGCAACUGUAGAUAAUAUACACAAAGGCAUGCAGCAGGUCCAUGAAAAUGAAAAAGCAGAGCAAUGUAUAAGAGAAAAACAUUAGGAAAAAAAUGAGUUGGAUGAGGAUUGCCCAGAUGAGGAGAACAACACAUACAAACGAGAAGAGAAGAUACAUUAGGACUAAUUUAAUAAGCUAUCAUGUAAUAUGGCUGGCUGCCUGGGCAGGGAAGGUCUCAAAUCAAGGAGGUGAUGACCACUUGUGGAAGACCUUACGAUGAGCUUUCCUGGACAAACUUGCUAUUUGGCCCCAAUGGGUCCUGAACUUCCUUCCAAAUCUGAGUCUAACUACUGAAGUUCUUUUGAGUCGGAGCUGAUAUGAUAAAACCCCUUGGACUAUUAUAAAGGACAGUCCAGAGAUGGAAGAAACUGGUCACAAGGAGACCACUUCAGAGGCAGUUCCUAAAGUCCAGAGUAGGGUGAUAAGGUCCCAAAUUAGGCUUUGAGAAGAGAUGGGAGUGGUAAGAAAUGUGUCAAG